GAUGAACGCUAGCUACAGGCUUAACACAUGCAAGUCGAGGGGCAGCAUGGUCUUAGCUUGCUAAGGCCGAUGGCGACCGGCGCACGGGUGAGUAACACGUAUCCAACCUGCCGUCUACUCUUGGACAGCCUUCUGAAAGGAAGAUUAAUACAAGAUGGCAUCAUGAGUUCACAUGUUCACAUGAUUAAAGGUAUUCCGGUAGACGAUGGGGAUGCGUUCCAUUAGAUAGUAGGCGGGGUAACGGCCCACCUAGUCUUCGAUGGAUAGGGGUUCUGAGAGGAAGGUACCCCACAUUGGAACUGAGACACGGUCCAAACUCCUACGGGAGGCAGCAGUGAGGAAUAUUGGUCAAUGGGCGAGAGCCUGAACCAGCCAAGUAGCGUGAAGGAUGACUGCCCUAUGGGUUGUAAACUUCUUUUAUAAAGGAAUAAAGUCGGGUAUGUAUACCCGUUUGCAUGUACUUUAUGAAUAAGGAUCGGCUAACUCCGUG
Molecule: ribosomal RNA, 490 nt
Filed under: uncultured bacterium
Lineage: Bacteria
Description: partial 16S ribosomal RNA
Rfam family: Bacterial small subunit ribosomal RNA
Source: RNAcentral